GCGUAGUCGAUGGGAAACAGGUUAAUAGUCCUGUACCUUUAUGCAAUGCGAUGGGGGGACGGAGAAGGUUAGGUGGGCCGGGUGUUGGAUGUCCCGGUUCAAGCGUGUAGGCGUGCCCGGUAGGCAAAUCCGCUGGGCUUAGCCGAGGCGUGAUGACGCAAGGCUCUUCGGAGUCCCAAGCCACUGAGACCCCGCUUCCAGGAAAAGCCUCUAAGCUUCAGUUGCAUGAAGACCGUACCGCAAACCGACACAGGUGGGCAGGAUGAAGAUUCUAAGGCGCUUGAGAGAACUCAGGAGAAGGAACUCGGCAAAUUAGCACCGUAACUUCGGGAGAAGGUGCGCCCUUGUAGCGUGAAGGCCCUUGCGGCUGGAGCGUGACGGGGUUGCAGUGAAAUGGUGGCUGCGACUGUUUAAUAAAAACACAGCACUCUGCAAAGGCGAAAGCCGACGUAUAGGGUGUGACGCCUGCCCGGUGCCGGAAGGUUAAGUGAUGGGGUGCAAGCUCUUGAUCGAAGCCCCGGUAAACGGCGGCCGUAACUAUAACGGUCCUAAGGUAGCGAAAUUCCUUGUCGGGUAAGUUCCGACCUGCACGAAUGGCGUAACGAUGGCCACACUGUCUCCUCCUGAGACUCAGCGAAGUUGAAGUGUUUGUGAAGAUGCAAUCUCCCCGCUGCUAGACGGAAAGACCCCAUGCACCUUUACUGUAGCUUUGCAUUGGACUUUGAUGAGACUUGUGUAGGAUAGGUGGGAGGCUUUGAAACCGGGAUGCUAGUUCCGGUGGAGCCGUCCUUGAAAUACCACCCUGGUGUCAUUGAGGUUCUAACCUGGGCCCCUUAACGGGGUCGGGGACCGUGCAUGGCAGGCAGUUUGACUGGGGCGGUCUCCUCCCAAAGGGUAACGGAGGAGUUCGAAGGUUCGCUAGGUACGGUCGGACAUCGUACUGAUAGUGCAUUGGCAAAAGCGAGCUUGACUGCGAGACGGACAUGUCGAGCAGGUGCGAAAGCAGGACAAAGUGAUCCGGUGGUUCUGUAUGGAAGGGCCAUCGCUCAACGGAUAAAAGGUACGCUGGGGAUAACAGGCUGAUGACUCCCAAGAGUUCAUAUCGACGGAGUCGUUUGGCACCUCGAUGUCGGCUCAUCACAUCCUGGGGCUGUAGCCGGUCCCAAGGGUAUGGCUGUUCGCCAUUUAAAGUGGUACGUGAGCUGGGUUUAAAACGUCGUGAGACAGUUUGGUCCCUAUCUGCAGUGGGCGUUGGAGAUUUGACGGGGGCUGCUCCUAGUACGAGAGGACCGGAGUGGACGCACCUCUGGUGUACCGGUUAUGACGCCAGUCGUAUCGCCGGGUAGCUAUGUGCGGAAGAGAUAACCGCUGAAAGCAUCUAAGCGGGAAACUUGCCUGAAGAUGAGAUCUCCCGGAGGCUUGACCUCCCUGAAGGGUCGUGGAAGACCACCACGUUGAUAGGCCGGGUGUGGAAGCGCAGUAAUGCGUUAAGCUAACCGGUACUAAUUGCCCGUGCGGCUUGAUCCU
Molecule: ribosomal RNA, 1527 nt
Filed under: metagenome
Description: bacterial LSU rRNA
Rfam family: Bacterial large subunit ribosomal RNA
Source: RNAcentral